RNAcentral lists this ribosomal RNA (253 nucleotides) under uncultured bacterium. RNAcentral describes it as "partial 16S ribosomal RNA". It matches the Rfam family "Bacterial small subunit ribosomal RNA", at positions 524 to 776 of the family's 1533-position model. The record is from RNAcentral.
UACAGAGGUCCCAAGCGUUGUUCGGAUUCACUGGGCGUAAAGGGUGCGUAGGCGGUCGGAUAAGUCUGAUGUGAAAUCUUCGAGCUCAACUCGGAAACUGCAUCGGAAACUAUUCGGCUGGAGGAUUGGAGGGGAGACUGGAAUUCUCGGUGUAGCAGUGAAAUGCGUAGAUAUCGAGAGGAACACCAGUGGCGAAGGCGGGUCUCUGGACAGUUCCUGACGCUGAGGCACGAAGGUCAGGGGAGCAAACGGG